Molecule: long non-coding RNA, 2062 nt
Filed under: Canis lupus familiaris (dog)
Lineage: Eukaryota; Metazoa; Chordata; Mammalia; Carnivora; Canidae
Description: lncRNA (ENSCAFG00000057001.1)
Source: RNAcentral
UUUUUUUUUGUUUGUUUGGUUCGGUUUCUCCAUGUAUAAAUAGUGAUAAUAAUGGUGGUUAUCUGCAGGGUCCUUGGGAGGAUUAAAUGAGCUAAUUCAUUCAAAACUUGGAACAAGAUCUCUCAGGUUCUACAUAUUUAAUUAACACUAGCUAUUACUAUUGUAUAGGUAAUUCUGAUCAUUUCUUUUUUUAUGUGAAUAUGGGAUGUUCUACUUUGGGUGCCAUAGGCUUUACCCAACUCCACAUAUCUGUCAGUCCCUGGAAGGAAUGUGUAUAAGUCAUGCUGAUUAACUGUGUAUGGGUAAUGAAGAUAGAUAGAGCUCAUACCAUAGAUAUCAGAAUGAAGUUCCCAGAUGCCUUGACAAACAGAACAUUGCACACAAGGACAAGAAAAUUUAAUUUACCAAGUAUAAAAGCAAAGUCCUGCACAGUCAACUACAGUCAUGUCAGGAAAACCUUGCUUCCUAAAGUCUGGUUGGCCAGUUGAUAAUGUGCACUACAUGCCUGCAGAAGAAAUGAAAAAGCCACUGGAAUCACCCUGGCCAACAUGGAAACCCAUUUUCUUGAGAAGAAACAUUUCCGCAGCCCUCAAGGCUGACAAGAUCACUUCUAGCAUAUGGUGCUCGGUUCUUGGUAGGAUGUUUCAAGAGGAAUAAGAUAAAUAGCAGGUUGGAGAAAGAGUAGAGCCCAAGUCACCUAAGAAAUGGCUAAUGGUCUUAGGAAUACCUCCCCUGGGCAAGAGAACCAAGUUGAUCAAUUGACAUUUAUGAGCACCUACUAUGUGCCAAGCUGUCCUGGGCCCCAAGAAUCACAUGGUGAACAAGACAGACAGCACCUCUGCUCUCAAUAGCUCACAUCCCAGUCACUGCAGACAGUCACACAAUAAACCUGUAAUCAAACAGCAUCAAUGGCUCCAGGCCCUCAGAAGCUCUGCAAAGAAGACAAGACAGCAAUGCCUUUCUAAGGAAAUGACUCUAAGUGGAAAUAAUAUGAAGAAGACCAGAUAGAAAAAAGGAUAAAAUGAUACAUUACCUGUAAAGCAUUUAUCAAAGAGCCUGGCACAUAGUAAAAGACUCAGAAGCUGGUAGUAGUAACAACAAUAACACAAGCAAAUAUUUCUACAGCACUUACUGAGGUGCCAGACUCUGCUGCAAGCACUUUGCAUUUAUGAAGUCACCUGUCAGGUAGCAAUCCUUUCUACCCCAUUUUAUAGAUGAUGAAACUGAGGCACACGGUGCUUAGUAAGUUGCCUGUGAUCACACUAGUAACCAGCUAGUCAGAUCCAGCCUCUGGACCAGGCAGCCUGUCUCCAAAGCCUAGACUCUUCUUGGCUAUUAUGCCUUCCAAGCACAGAAGGAUUCUCUCAUCAAAAGUGUCUGUGUUCUGAGGUAGACCAGAAGACAGAAAUAGAACAAAGUUAGGAAGCUCCAUCAAGCAUACCAAUCAACAAACAGUCCCUGGACACUUGGCAUGUUUCCAGCACCCUGCUAGGCACAAGAUUGUGGUGAAAUUUCAUGUUUAUAUUCAGAACAGACUUGCAGCAAGUGGGAAAGCACUCCCGUGAUACAAAAUAAUCUUGUGGCAUGCACGGUUUUUGCUCCUUACUCUGCCCUUUCGUUCUCCCUUCAGUGACCUUGUUACCUGUAUCAGGAACAUCCAAUCUUAAAAAGAACCUGCUUGGGGAUCCCUGGGUGGCUCAGCGGUUUGGCGCCUGCCUUUGGCCCAAGGUGUGAUCCUGGAGUCCCGGGAUUGAGUCCCACAUCAGGCUCCAGGCAUGGAGCCUGCUUCUCCCUCUGCCUAUGUCUCUGCCUCUCUCUCUCUCUCUCUCUAUGUCUAUCAUGAAUAAAUAAAUAAAAUCUUAAAAAAAAAAAAGAACCUGCUUGUGAUAAAAGAAAAAAAUGCAAGAAGCGACUUAGUACCUUGCCUGAUGGAGUUUUUUUUCUUAAUAAAAUAUUAUAGGAGUCUAGUUGCUGGGAAAUAAUCAGUUUGCAAGUUGAAGGAAAGGUAUAAAACUCCAUGUAUGUAAGGCCUGGUAUGAAAAAAUACUUGCUUACAUACACA